RNAcentral lists this ribosomal RNA (393 nucleotides) under uncultured bacterium. RNAcentral describes it as "partial 16S ribosomal RNA". It matches the Rfam family "Bacterial small subunit ribosomal RNA", at positions 523 to 918 of the family's 1533-position model. The record is from RNAcentral.
AUACGGAAGGCCCGGGCGUUAUCCGGAUUUAUUGGGUUUAAAGGGAGCGCAGGCGGAGAUGCAAGCGUGACGUCAAAUUUCGGGGCUCAACCCCGUCUCGCGUCGCGAACUGCGUCCCUUGGUUGCGGGAAGGGGAGGCGGAACUCGUGGUGUAGCGGGGGAAUGCAUAGAUAUCACGAAGAACUCCGAUCGCGAAGGCAGCCUUCCGGCCCGUCAACGACGCUCAUGCUCGAAGGUGCGGGUAUCAAACAGGAUUAGAUACCCUGGUAGUCCGCACAGUAAACGAUGGACACCCGCGGUUUGGCCUGUAUGGCUGAGCCGCCAAGCGAAAGCGUUAAGUGUCCCACCUGGGGAGUACGCCGGCAACGGUGAAACUCAAAGGAAUUGACGGGG